This 442-nucleotide long non-coding RNA is filed under the name Ananas comosus (pineapple). Its description in RNAcentral is "long non-coding RNA (ACOM_LNC004906)". Lineage: Eukaryota; Viridiplantae; Streptophyta; Magnoliopsida; Poales; Bromeliaceae. The record is from RNAcentral.
CAAAUACCCCCACUAUGGUUUCGCACUUUCUCACUUUAGUACCAUGUGGUUUAAAAUAUAUCAAGUUAGUACCUUAUGGUUUCGCACUUUCUCAUUUUAGUACCCUAUGGUUUCAAGUGUAUCAAAUUAGGACUCUAUGUUUUUAUUUUUGUAUCAAGUUAGUACCAUGUGGUUUUAAUUUUUUCUUUUUAUUAUCCAUUUCGGAGUAUAUAAUUUAAUGAAAUAUUAAACCAUAGGGUACUAAAGUGAGAAAGUGCGAAACCACGUGAUACUAACUUGAUACACUUGAAAUUAUAGGGUACUAAAGUGAGAAAGUGCGAAACUACAAGGUACUAACUUGAUACAUUUUAAAUCACAUGAUACUAAAGUAAGAACGUGCGAAACCAUAAGGGGGUAUUUGAAGUUUCUCCAAAUAAAUAUUUUAUUUUCAUUUGAUAUAAUA